RNAcentral lists this ribosomal RNA (406 nucleotides) under uncultured bacterium. RNAcentral describes it as "partial 16S ribosomal RNA". It matches the Rfam family "Bacterial small subunit ribosomal RNA", at positions 29 to 526 of the family's 1533-position model. The record is from RNAcentral.
AUUGAACGCUGGCGGCAGGCUUAACACAUGCAAGUCGAGCGAGCGGCGGACGGGUGAGUAAUGUCUGGGAAACUGCCUGAUGGAGGGGGAUAACUACUGGAAACGGUAGCUAAUACCGCAUACCAUCAGAUGUGCCCAGAUGGGAUUAGCUAGUAGGUGGGGUAAUGGCUCACCUAGGCGACGAUCCCUAGCUGGUCUGCGAGGAUGACCAGCCACACUGGAACGGGGACCAGGGCCAGACUCCUACGGGAGGCAGCAGUGGGGAAUAUUGGACAAGGGGCGCAAGCCUGAUGCAGCCAUGCCGCGGGUGUGAAGAAGGCCUUCGGGUUGUAAAGCACUUUCAGCGGGGAAGCGGUACUCGCAGAAGAAGCACCGGCUAACUACGUGCCAGCAGCCGCGGUAAUUC